RNAcentral lists this ribosomal RNA (497 nucleotides) under uncultured bacterium. Its description in RNAcentral is "partial 16S ribosomal RNA". It matches the Rfam family "Bacterial small subunit ribosomal RNA", at positions 28 to 507 of the family's 1533-position model. The record is from RNAcentral.
GACGAACGCUGGCGGCGUGCCUAAUACAUGCAAGUUGAGCGCUGAAGGUUGGUACUUGUACCAACUGGAUGAGCAGCGCACGGGUGAGUAACGCGUGGGGAAUCUGCCUUUGAGCGGGGGACAACAUUUGGAAACGAAUGCUAAUACCGCAUAAAAACUUUAAACACAAGUUUUAAGUUUGAAAGAUGCAAUUGCAUCACUCAAAGAUGAUCCCGCGUUGUAUUAGCUAGUUGGUGAGGUAAAGGCUCACCAAGGCGAUGAUACAUAGCCGACCUGAGAGGGUGAUCGGCCACAUUGGGACUGAGACAGGGCCCAAACUCCUACGGGAGGCAGCAGUAGGGAAUCGUCGGCAAUGGACGAAAGUCUGACCGAGCAACGCCGCGUGAGUGAAGAAGGUUUUCGGAUCGUAAAACUCUGUUGGUAGAGAAGAACGUUGGUGAGAGUGGAAAGCUCAUCAAGUGACGGUAACUACCCAGAAAGGGACGGCUAACUACGUG